This 73-nucleotide transfer RNA is filed under the name Candidatus Hadersleviella danica. RNAcentral's name for it is "tRNA-Pro". It matches the Rfam family "tRNA". Rfam says of the family: Transfer RNA (tRNA) molecules are approximately 80 nucleotides in length. Their secondary structure includes four short double-helical elements and three loops (D, anti-codon, and T loops). Lineage: Bacteria; Bacillati; Chloroflexota; Ardenticatenia; Promineifilales (SeqCode); Promineifilaceae (SeqCode). The record is from RNAcentral.
CGGGGUAUAGCGCAGCUUGGUAGCGCGUUUCACUGGGGGUGAAAAGGUCGUCGGUUCAAACCGGCUACCUCGA